This 253-nucleotide ribosomal RNA is filed under the name uncultured bacterium. RNAcentral's name for it is "partial 16S ribosomal RNA". It matches the Rfam family "Bacterial small subunit ribosomal RNA", at positions 524 to 776 of the family's 1533-position model. The record is from RNAcentral.
UUCGGGGGGGGCAAGCGUUGUUCGGAAUUACUGGGCGUAAAGGGCUCUUAGGCGGCCAACUAAGUCAGACGUGAAAUCCCCAGGCUCAACCUGGGAACUGCGUCUGAUACUGGAUGGCUUGAAUCCGGGAGAGGGAUGCAGAAUUCCAGGUGUAGCGGUGAAAUGCGUAGAUAUCUGGAGGAAUACCGGUGGCGAAGGCGGCAUCCUGGACCGGCAUUGACGCUGAGGAGCGAAAGCCAGGGGAGCAAACGGG